Molecule: long non-coding RNA, 3040 nt
Organism: Anthonomus grandis grandis
Lineage: Eukaryota; Metazoa; Arthropoda; Insecta; Coleoptera; Curculionidae
Exons: 4
Source: RefSeq, a predicted model, not a curated record
GUUGUAGGAGUCGAAAAUAGAUUCGAUUCCUCGAUUUGUUUUGUUGAAAACGUUCUCGAUUUUAGAAGGGGGGGAGGGACACCAGCUGACUUUUUUUUAAAUGAUUUGCAAAAAAUUCCGGAAAUUUGUUUGGAGUAAUCGUUGUGAUGGUUAUUUCUAAUUAAACUUACGCGAUUAGGUAAUGACCAAUGUCGAGACCAAUGUAGAAAAUACAAUACUAACAUCAGACGACCAUAACAUAUCAGCGCAAGAAGGUGAUCCCAAAAAACUGCAGUCAGUGGAUUAUGAUGAAAGUUCUUUAGUUGAAAGUCCUGCUGAUGAUUCGGAUCUAGAUUCGAACUAUAUGCCUAAAGAUGAAACUUGACGAAUAAAAAGAAAGAGAGAAUUCCAUGAUUGUAUACCUUCCCAUUUUGAUUCAGACCACUGGACGCAGAAGCGGACAGGCUCAGGCAAAGAGGUUACUCAGUAUGGCACACGGCAACCAAACGAUCCAAGAUGUGGGCAUGGUGGAGGACGAACAACAGGGCAGACAACUCAUGCUAAACCUGAGCCUGGAAACAACAAAUUUACAGGCAAGCAUAAUAGGAAUACAAACCUGUGUCCAACUGAUGAGAGAAGGACUGGCAAGAGGCAAAACCUUCGCAAUUUUCACAGGAGACCAGGCUGCAACACUUGCACUAUAACAGUUCGAGACUAAGUCAAGGACUGUGCAAAGCUGCUAAGUAAAAUUAAUAAAUUAUAGAAAAAAUUAAUUCAGAAAGUCUAAGUGCCUCGACUGCCUUAGCUCAAAUAAGUUUUUACUGAUGAGGCCUAAUGAUCCAAAACUUUUACAAUCAGUAGUCAAUAUACUAAGCUAGCUCUCCUAUAAAUUACGCUGUUUUAGCUUAAUUAGCUUUUGAGUUAUUUAAUCUUAAACUUCAAAAAGUAAAAUUAAUAAAUUAUUAAGAAAGUAUAGGUGCCUCGACUGCCUUGGCUCAAAUAAUUUUGCACUGAUGGGGCCUAAUGAUUCGAAACUUUCACAAUCAGUAGUCAGUAUACUAAGCUAGCUCUCCUAUAAAUUACGCUGUUCUAGCUUAAUUAGCUUUUGAGUUAUGUAAUCUUAAACUUCAAAAAGUAAAAUUAAUAAAUUAUUAAGAAAGUAUAGGUGCCUCGACUGCCUUGGCUCAAAUAAUUUUGCACUGAUGAGGCCUAAUGAUCCGAAACUUUUACAAUCAGUAGUCAAUAUACCACGUUAGCUUUUCUAUAAAUUACGCUGUUUUAGCUUAAUUAGCUUUUGAGUUAUUUAAUCUUAAACUUCAAAAAGUAAAAUUAAUAAAUUAUUAAGAAAGUAUAGGUGCCUCGACUGCCUUGGCUCAAAUAAUUUUGCACUGAUGAGGCCUAAUGAUUCGAAACUUUCACAAUCAGUAGUCAGUAUACUAAGCUAGCUCUCCUAUAAAUUACGCUGUUCUAGCUUAAUUAGCUUUUGAGUUAUGUAAUCUUAAACUUCAAAAAGUAAAAUUAAUAAAUUAUUAAGAAAGUAUAGGUGCCUCGACUGCCUUGGCUCAAAUAAUUUUGCACUGAUGAGGCCUAAUGAUCCGAAACUUUUACAAUCAGUAGUCAAUAUACCACGUUAGCUUUUCUAUAAAUUACGCUGUUUUAGCUUAAUUAGCUUUUGAGUUAUUUAAUCUUAAACUUCAAAAAGUAAAAUUAAUAAAUUAUUAAGAAAGUAUAGGUGCCUCGACUGCCUUGGCUCAAAUAAUUUUGCACUGAUGAGGCCUAAUGAUUCGAAACUUUCACAAUCAGUAGUCAAUAUACUAAGCUAGCUCUCCUAUAAAUUUCGCUGUUCUAGCUUAAUUAGUUCUUGAUUUAUUCAAGCUUAAACUUUAAAAAGCAAAAUUAUUAUUAAAAUACAGAAAAAAAUUAAUUCAGAAAGUCUAAGUGCCUCGACUGCCUUGGCUCAAAUAACUUUGCACUGAUGAGGCCUAAUGAUCCGAAACUUUUAGGAUCAAUAGUCAAUAUACCAAGCUAGCUCUCCUAUAAAUUACGCUGUUCUUUUAUAAAAAACGAUUUUUUUUUCAGUCAAUUAUUGUCUUCAAAAAAUUCGUUUUUUCAUUAAUUCUACCCUUGCCCCCCCGCCCACCCCACACAACUUACCAGUAAGAAAUUGUAUGCAAAAAUCAUUGUUUUCUUAAAUAAUACGCAUGGAUAACAGCCGCGUUUCGUUGUUAAUAUCCUAUCUAAUAACACAGUUUGUUUAUUUAAAUUUGAUAUAUAAUAUUUCGAAUUAUAAGAAAACCAGUUCUACAGUAACACCUUGGGAAGAGUAACGUGUGAUGUACACGUUACUCUUGAAAUAGAUAAUGAAAAUUUAUCUAGAACCAAAAAAAAACGAAAAUUUUAACCAAGUGUGUAUUAUGUAUAUGCGAGGUAAUAUCAGAUGUACUAUUGAAUAAGUAUGAAGUGUUAAUUUUACUUUAUUUUCUUUCAUAGUCUUAAUUUCACAAUUAUAAAUUCAGUGUUAUUGUAUUUCUUUUUCAAAUUGAGUUUACAGGUUAAAUUAGCUUGUCAAUUAUGACAUUGAUACGAAAGCUGGGUUUACCGAUGUAAAGGUGCCUUUUUAUUUUUCGUGCCCUGAUAAUAAACCCGAAAACCACAUUUAUACUCUUAAAAAUAAAUUUCUGCCAAGGACAAGCAGGCAUGGACAAAAUUCUCCGGGAUUCUAUCUGUCUAAAGCCGGACCUGUGCAACUUUUCACGCUUGAUUGGUUGCGACCUCUAACAAAAUAGUACGUGGACAUCUGAAGUCAAAUAUAUACAUUUAAAACACUUAUUUAUUUACUAGGAUGAUUAAAUAUCGCUUAGAAUAAAACUUUAAGACUCUAUCCACAUAAAAUUUUGCAAUUUAAACAUGCAUGCCAAGUGACAAUACGAGCAACACCGGCACACGGACUAUACGCGGCACAUCAAAGAUUCUAAUAGAUCUCUGAACUGGACUACAUUAUGUAUGAUACUCACAAUCGUAAAUUAUAUUUUGUUUGUUAAAUAAAAAACGUUUAUUAUUA